This 2115-nucleotide long non-coding RNA is filed under the name Mus musculus (house mouse). RNAcentral's name for it is "predicted gene 3764". Lineage: Eukaryota; Metazoa; Chordata; Mammalia; Rodentia; Muridae. The record is from RNAcentral.
AGAGAAGAGCUAGGAGAGACCAGCGGGCGGUAGCUGCGGCGAGUGGCCUCUCCGUGCGGCACAGAGGCAAGAAGCAGCCAUCCAUCCAGAAGCAGCCUCCGUGUUCCGUUUGUCCGGAUGUCAUCGUAGGUGGCCGGCAUCUCUGGCUUUGGGGCAGCUCUGAGCUUGUUAUGACAGCGGCUGAAGGCGCUUGAAUUGCUGUUUGCGGUGCCUACUAAUUGGACUGAAGGGCUGGAGUCUGGACACUGAAAGGGACCAUUGUCGCUGUUUGCCUUCCACGGCUGCCUCCCUGGGACCCUCUGGUUGAGGGGAGUCGCAUACCCGCAGGUCGUGGCACCCAUGCUCUGUGACCAUGCAAGGGUACCCUGUGGGGACACUGCACAUCAUUGUCUUGUCUGGGCUUCUCCCCUGGGGGCGGGUGGGUGCUCCACCCUCCCGCCCACUCUCUGAGGACAUGAGGAACAUGGUAUCCAGCACCACGGACAGCUCCCAGCGGUGAGUGAGCCUGCUGACCCCUGUAGGAAAAUGGUGGUUUUGUCUAUUCCAGGCAGACAUCCUGCACUACAUUCCAGAUCUGAUGAGGCAUGGCUGCCCCAGGAUUACUGGGCUCGGACGGGAGCAGUGGUAGGAAGGAUCCUAUAUAAGUCAUGUGAGACAUAGAAUGUUCAGAUCAACUGAAGCUGAAACAAGCCUUUGGCAUCAUAUAUAACCCAGAAAGGGACAAAGCUGAUCCCAGAGGACUCAAGGCUAUGGGUGAUGUCGAAGGUGCGGAAGAAUCAAGUUGGAAAGACCAGCAGGAGACAGACAGAGUAAGGUUCCUUGAAUGCUUGGUUUAUGUGCCUGGCUGGAGGAGACACCCAUGGCCUUGCAGAGGGAGCGUUCUGGUGGGAAAGCAGACACAACCCACCCUAGGCCCGUGGUUUCCCUGCAAGAAGCCCAGUGGCUUUCUGGAGGACACUUUUCCUGGAGGAAGUGACUCAAGAGCAGCAUAAGCCAGGCUCUAUGGAAUGUUGGGUGAGCUGCUUGAGGAACUCCAAGGCCUGUCCCACAGUCUUCCAGCCUCCGACUCUCCGGCCCUCAGCGAGGAAGUCCCACUGGUUUUUUUGGUUGGUUUUUUUUUUUUUUUUUAAGGUUUUUUGGUUUUUUUUUUUUUUUCUCAUUCCUGUCUUGGGAGCUUUCCCCAACCAGGAGAGUGAAGAUGGGCGGAGCUGUCACACCAACUGUUAGCCUGCCUUGGCUGAGAGGAGAGGAGGCGAGGAGGGAGCGACCACCCAGCUUUAGUCGUUUUAAAACAGCUCCUGACCCUAGAAGAAGGGAAAUGGAGAUGAAGACCCAAUUGACUUGAGAGAGUGAUCUUUCAGCAGACUGAUCGAACACACAGGCUUCUCAGCCCACUCCCUCCAGUCAAGGUUAAGGCCUGGCAAAGGUGGAGGAAGAGAAGCUGAGGAGAAAAAGGCGAGGAGAGCCUAGGCACAGGAAGGUGACCGCUUCCCUCCCUCCCAGUGCUGAUUUCCUGUGGACCAGAUUCCAGCACAGUGGAGGGCCAGAGCUCAGGGAACAGACCCAGCAGCACAGCAAGUCUCCAAGGAAAGCUCUAGCAGUCUCCAGGGGCUGAAGGCAGGACUGGGGAAGCGGCUAGCCAGGCUGCAGAAGGCAAAUGCUCCCAGACGGCUGUCCAGCACGCAUCCGCCUUCCUAGCCAAGUUUCCUGGGCUCCUGCCACAGAUCUAAGCCUCAUCCUGACAUCCUGCCCUCUGUGCUCUGGGAUGGCCCAGGGGAGAUGCUUAGCCUUGGCUCCUUGUCUGCUGGUGGAGGGGACACACACCCUUUCUGGACCACAGACCAAAAAGAAGACCUGACGUCAUCCUGAGCACCCCCGCCAUGCAGAGUGUGUUCGCAGACUGCCAACGGGCUGGCUCCGGCCAGCAGAAGUGAACAGAGGUGGAGGUUCAGCCUGACAGCUUCUCCCCAAAGCCAUGGAGAGAAAACCUUACCACCCCCACCGCCCAGCUACUUCCAGCAAGUUGUCCAGCCUGACCCCUCUAUUUCCCCUGUUGUCUCUUAUCUGGGUCCCUGAGACCCACCCCAUCUCCAAUAAAGAACAUUGCAUACUGUG